UACGGGGGGGGCAAGCGUUGUUCGGAAUUACUGGGCGUAAAGCGCGCGUAGGCGGCUCUUCAAGUCGAGUGUGAAAGCUCCAGGCUUAACCUGGGAAUUGCGCUCGAUACCGUUGAGCUAGAGUGUGGAAGGGGCUACUGGAAUUCCGUGUGUAGCGGUGAAAUGCGUAGAUAUACGGAGGAACACCGAUGGCGAAGGCAGGUCUCUGGGCCACUACUGACGCUGAGAAGCGAAAGCAUGGGGAGCGAACAGG
RNAcentral lists this ribosomal RNA (253 nucleotides) under uncultured bacterium. RNAcentral's name for it is "partial 16S ribosomal RNA". It matches the Rfam family "Bacterial small subunit ribosomal RNA", at positions 524 to 776 of the family's 1533-position model. The record is from RNAcentral.